AGUGAACGCUGGCGGUAGGCCUAACACAUGCAAGUCGAACGGCAGCACAGUAAGAGCUUGCUCUUACGGGUGGCGAGUGGCGGACGGGUGAGGAAUACAUCGGAAUCUACUUUUUCGUGGGGGAUAACGUAGGGAAACUUACGCUAAUACCGCAUACGACCUACGGGUGAAAGCAGGGGAUCUUCGGACCUUGCGCGAUUGAAUGAGCCGAUGUCGGAUUAGCUAGUUGGCGGGGUAAAGGCCCACCAAGGCGACGAUCCGUAGCUGGUCUGAGAGGAUGAUCAGCCACACUGGAACUGAGACACGGUCCAGACUCCUACGGGAGGCAGCAGUGGGGAAUAUUGGGCAAUGGGCGCAAGCCUGAUCCAGCAAUACCGCGUGGGUGAAGAAGGCCUUCGGGUUGUAAAGCCCUUUUGUUGGGAAAGAAAAGCAGCAGGUUAAUACCCCGCUGUUCUGACGGUACCCAAAGAAUAAGCACCGGCUAACUUCGUG
RNAcentral lists this ribosomal RNA (492 nucleotides) under uncultured bacterium. Its description in RNAcentral is "partial 16S ribosomal RNA". It matches the Rfam family "Bacterial small subunit ribosomal RNA", at positions 29 to 507 of the family's 1533-position model. The record is from RNAcentral.